RNAcentral lists this non-coding RNA (27 nucleotides) under Bombyx mori (domestic silkworm). Lineage: Eukaryota; Metazoa; Arthropoda; Insecta; Lepidoptera; Bombycidae. The record is from RNAcentral.
CCGCUGGAUUCCGACAUCUGUUUCUCC